CCCUCAACAUGAGCCAACUUCAACCACAGAAGCUACUAAUGUUACCUCUGGUGGGCAGAUAGCUUUCCCAGAAGAAAUGGUUGUUGCAUCUAAAGGAAAAAAGAAGGCAUCUGCUACCAGGCAUGGUUCAUUCAAAAUGUUAAAGGGUGCAUGCACUGGUGGGAUAAUUAUUGGAAGGGAAGCUAGACAUUCUGCUUCGUUCAUCACUAUUGACCAACUAGUUGAAAGAACUAGUUAGCAUCAACAUACCAAUGAACAUAUUACUGCAGGUGGAGAUGGUCCAGAAUUCUUAACUCAGCAAAGCAUCACAA
Long non-coding RNA from Dioscorea cayenensis subsp. rotundata (Guinea yam), 311 nucleotides. RefSeq lists it as uncharacterized. The record is from RefSeq and is a predicted model, not a curated record. NCBI's taxonomy places the organism in Eukaryota, Viridiplantae, Streptophyta, Magnoliopsida, Dioscoreales, Dioscoreaceae. The transcript is spliced from 3 exons.